UGUAAACAUCCUUGACUGGAAGCUGGGUGUAGGGUUUGUGAAGGCUUUCAGUCGGAUGUUUGCA
This is a non-coding RNA of Danio rerio (zebrafish), 64 nucleotides long. NCBI's taxonomy places the organism in Eukaryota, Metazoa, Chordata, Actinopteri, Cypriniformes, Danionidae. The record is from Rfam.